AUUGAACGCUGGCGGCAUGCCUUACACAUGCAAGUCGAACGGUAACAGGUCUUCGGAUGCUGACGAGUGGCGAACGGGUGAGUAAUACAUCGGAACGUGCCUAGUAGUGGGGGAUAACUACUCGAAAGAGUGGCUAAUACCGCAUGAGAUCUACGGAUGAAAGCAGGGGAUCGCAAGACCUUGUGCUACUAGAGCGGCCGAUGGCAGAUUAGGUAGUUGGUGGGAUAAAAGCUUACCAAGCCGACGAUCUGUAGCUGGUUUGAGAGGACGAUCAGCCACACUGGGACUGGGACACGGCCCAGACUCCUACGGGAGGCAGCAGUGGGGAAGUUUGGACAAUGGGCGAAAGCCUGAUCCAGCAAUGCCGCGUGCAGGAUGAAGGCCUUCGGGUUGUAAACUGCUUUUGUACGGAACGAAAAGCCCCGGGUUAAUACCCUGGGGUCAUGACGGUACCGUAAGAAUAAGCACCGGCUAACUACGUGCCAGCAGCCGCGGUAA
Molecule: ribosomal RNA, 498 nt
Filed under: uncultured bacterium
Lineage: Bacteria
Description: partial 16S ribosomal RNA
Rfam family: Bacterial small subunit ribosomal RNA
Source: RNAcentral